RNAcentral lists this unclassified non-coding RNA (28 nucleotides) under Mus musculus (house mouse). RNAcentral describes it as "oocyte_clustered_small_RNA13013". The record is from RNAcentral. Lineage: Eukaryota; Metazoa; Chordata; Mammalia; Rodentia; Muridae.
UAUGCAGCCUGGAACCAUCACCAGCCAA